This 480-nucleotide long non-coding RNA is filed under the name Rosa chinensis. RNAcentral's name for it is "sRNA RchiOBHm_Chr4g0423231". The record is from RNAcentral. Lineage: Eukaryota; Viridiplantae; Streptophyta; Magnoliopsida; Rosales; Rosaceae.
CCUCCUCCUCCUCCUCCUCCUCCACACAUACACAGACCUCGAGAGAGUGUGAAAGGCGAAGAACAACGCGUCGUUGGGAUCUACUCUACUCUAAGAUCAAUGUUGGAGCGUCUCGAGGAUCUGAAAACCCAAACUCAAGCUUGGAUCUUCAUCUCCGACCUCCAUAGGCGUCGGCGACUCACAGGUGGUCUGACCGGAAUGCCGAGCAACGAUGACGGGGAAGGCAAAGCCGAAGAAGCAUGUGGCAAUGGAGAUCCAGGUGAAGAUCGACGCGUCUACAACAAAUCGCCGAAGCGGGAAGGUCGGAAUCGCUGACCGGACCGAGUAGGAAAACGGCGGACACGCCAAGUACGAGUGCCCUCACUCCAAGAUAACGGCGUUGGACGUAACGUCGAGGCACCACGACUCGAAGCAUCCGAAGAAUCUAAGAUGUCCAACUGAAAAGAAUUGGCCCAAAAUGGUACCGUGGUGUUCGCCGGC